Molecule: small RNA, 29 nt
Filed under: Bombyx mori (domestic silkworm)
Lineage: Eukaryota; Metazoa; Arthropoda; Insecta; Lepidoptera; Bombycidae
Description: piRNA piR-bmo-1600502
Source: RNAcentral
UUGGCAGUUAUGGCACUGGCUAGGUGUGC